Molecule: ribosomal RNA, 502 nt
Filed under: uncultured bacterium
Lineage: Bacteria
Description: partial 16S ribosomal RNA
Rfam family: Bacterial small subunit ribosomal RNA
Source: RNAcentral
AUUGAACGCUGGCGGAAUGCUUUACACAUGCAAGUCGAACGGCAGCACGGGUGCUUGCACCUGGUGGCGAGUGGCGAACGGGUGAGUAAUACAUCGGAACGUACCCAGUCGUGGGGGAUAACGUAGCGAAAGUUACGCUAAUACCGCAUACGUCCUGAGGGAGAAAGCGGGGGACCGUAAGGCCUCGCGCGAUUGGAGCGGCCGAUGUCUGAUUAGCUAGUUGGUGAGGUAAAGGCUCACCAAGGCGACGAUCAGUAGCUGGUCUGAGAGGAUGAUCAGCCACACUGGAACUGAGACACGGUCCAGACUCCUACGGGAGGCAGCAGUGGGGAAUUUUGGACAAUGGGCGAAAGCCUGAUCCAGCCAUUCCGCGUGAGUGAAGAAGGCCUUCGGGUUGUAAAGCUCUUUCGGCAGGAACGAAACGCUCUAGAUUAAUACCCUGGGGUAAUGACGGUACCUGAAGAAGAAGCACCGGCUAACUACGUGCCAGCAGCCGCAGUAA